This is a non-coding RNA of Ictidomys tridecemlineatus (thirteen-lined ground squirrel), 2170 nucleotides long. Lineage: Eukaryota; Metazoa; Chordata; Mammalia; Rodentia; Sciuridae. The record is from RefSeq and is a predicted model, not a curated record.
UGCCGCCGCCGCCGCCGUCACAAGUCCUCGGCUGACCUCCGGAGGGAUGCUCUGCAGUGCGGCACAGUGAGGCCCCCUGACUUCAUCGCGGGAGACUUUAGUGGGGGCGCCUCAGUAUCCCCAUAGCAUGGAGGGGGGAGGUCCCUGAACAGACAGCGUCCUGACCUUCUGCGGGAGCGCCCGCGCUGUGCCCAUCUCUUGGUCCUUGGUCGUCUCCAAUAUUUCUUCAUCUCCCUCCCCGCAAUGCCCGACUCCCAACAGGUAUAGGUAGGCCUUAAGGGUUAACAUUCAGUCUGUAUAGACGUCUCUUUCUCUCUCUCUCUCUCUUUUGCCUUGAAGUAUCAAAAUUUUAUACGCUUAUUAUGCCAUAAUUGAAAGAGCAUAAAAUAUUGCUAGUGGUACUUCCAGACUCCUUCCUGUAUAUUUUAUAAAGUCCCAGGAAGACGUACUGAAUGUGUGAUCUCUCUCUACGCAGUGCCAUCGCUCAUUGGGGUGGGGGUCAGCUGUUAUCCUGAGGAAUGUUAUUUUUCUAAUGAAUACAGCCAGCAGCAAAGGAGAUCCAAGAUGAAGACAAUAUUCCGAGGGAAAACAUAAAAAUAAAUGGAAAUACAGAUAUGAAAGGGGAAAGGAGAGAACAAGAACUGUGUGUUGGUAAACUGUGUGUUGCUGAACUGGAAUAAGAGAUCAGUAUGAAUUUAACACUAUUUUACUUUUUCAAGAUUUAUUUAUUCUAAUAAGUGAAUUUAUGUUUUUUAAAAAUAUAUCUUCUACAUCUGCAAAGAUAUCCCAGAAGCAAGAAAGCCCAGAUCCUGGCUUCUAAGUAUCAUUUUCCACUAAAAGCAAGCUGUUUCUUUGAAGAGUGGCUGAUCCCAGGCUGAGACUGGGAAGUGCAAGUCAAGCCUGCAACAUCUGAUUACACCAGGAAUUAAAGAGCUCAAUGCCAGGCAUGGUGGGCAUGCCUUGUAAUCCUAGAGACUCUGGAGGCUGAGUCAGGAGGAUCACAAGUUCUAGGUCAGCUCUGUUAACUUAGUAAGACCCUUUCUCAAAAUAAAAAUUAAAAAGGGCUGGAGAUAUAGCUCAGUCAUAGAGCACCCUAGUAUUCCAUCCCAGGUACCGCAAAAAUAAGUAAAUAAAGGGGAGCUAAAAAAAAAUGAUGAGGAUGUACCAAAAGAGCACAAUAGCCAGCUCGAAGAAGCUCCCAGCCAAAUUUGGAACAAUUUGAGCAUCAAAAGGAAUAAUGUCCCAAUUGCCGUAUCCUGAGCUGCUUUGUUCUGCCACAUCCUUCCACCAUGAUGUUCUGCCCAACCUCGAGCCCAGAACUACCAGCAAAUCAUGGACUGAAUCUGUAAACUGGGAGCUGAAAUAAACAUUUCCUUCUCUGUGUUGUUCUUGUCAGUCUUUUGGUCACAGCCAUGAAAAGCUGACUAAACAGAUGCCCUUUUCAUGUAAAUUUCAGUCCUCAAGUCAAAGCCAGACAAGCACAUGGAAUCCAAAGCAGUCAUGACCUCUUUUUUCGCCACUUGCCUGAGAACUUAACCUUUCACCUGGAGAUACCAACAGAUACCAGGACAAAGUGCCCAGGACAAAGACUCUGGAGGACAGGUGCAAAUGGAACUCCUUUUGUCUCCUGCAGCCUAGCCACAAAGUUGGGAGGAUGGACAUCUGGUGUAUGUAACAAGCAUCCAAACAACUAGGGAACAUCAGUGUCACAACCAGAGCUGAAGGGAAUCUUAGCUCACCUCCUUUUUUGAUAGAUGGGUAAACAGAGGCCAGUGACCGUGGUGGCUUUCUUGAGAUCACCCAACUGACACCCAAUGAUGGUGAACCUGUCAUGACCUGGUUUCCUGGCUCCCAGGCCACUAUUUGCUCCCUGAUACCAUGGCACCUUUGUAUACAUUCCUGACACUGCUCCAGUGCUUCAGCCAGCCUCUCAUGGCGCAUCACAGCCUCCACUGCCUGUGCCAACCUGCCUGAGCAGCUUCCAGGACUGUCCCACAAGGGCAAAUGAUUAAUGUACUUGUAAACUGACUGAUCUGCAAACAUGACCAUGGGCCUGUGGAAUGAGUGAGUGGCUUCUACAUUUGGUCACCCAGGAGCCCUUCCUUAUGUUGGGCAGAUGAAAUUUAAAAAAAAAAAAAAAAAACCCCAAGGCUCUUUCAUUCCCUCAAAA